This 334-nucleotide ribosomal RNA is filed under the name uncultured eukaryote. RNAcentral describes it as "partial 18S ribosomal RNA". It matches the Rfam family "Eukaryotic small subunit ribosomal RNA", at positions 1470 to 1796 of the family's 1831-position model. The record is from RNAcentral.
CCCUUAGAUGUCCGGGGCCGCACGCGCGCUACACUGAAGGAAUCAGCGUGGCUUUCUCCCUGACCCGAAAGGAUUGGGAAACCCGUUGAAUCUCCUUCGUGAUAGGGAUUGGGGCUUGAAAUUGUUCCCCAUGAACGAGGAAUUCCCAGUAAGCGCGAGUCAUAAGCUCGCGUUGAUUACGUCCCUGCCCUUUGUACACACCGCCCGUCGCUACUACCGAUUGAACGGUUUAGUGAGGGCCUCGGAUUGGUCUCGGCCCGCUCUUUACCGGGCGGCGCCGUUGGUCGAGAAGACGCUCGAACUUGAUCGUUUAGAGGAAGUAAAAGUCGUAACA